Molecule: long non-coding RNA, 2598 nt
Organism: Biomphalaria glabrata
Lineage: Eukaryota; Metazoa; Mollusca; Gastropoda; Planorbidae
Exons: 2
Source: RefSeq, a predicted model, not a curated record
AGGGAUACAGUUAGGGUCUUUGAUUUUCUUCAUCUUUACAGGAAAAAAAUCCACAUUUAUUUAGGGUCUUGCAUGGAGAGGAACCCCUACUACACUAGUUAGUCGUGUAAUAUCUAACUUGAGUAGUGUCAAAGGCAAUGUAUUCAACCCCACUGAGAGAUUCAAGUGUUUCCCAUUGAGGCUUCACUUGAACAUCGAGGUACGGACUCCUGAAAGUGGGUGGACAUUCUGUUUGAACAUGUUGGAGCCUGGUAUAGCUGUAGAGGUCUGGCAAGAUGGGCUGAGAUCCUCCUGCACAUUAGAUUUGCUGAGACGGAAGAUUACUUUGGGAAAGUUGUUCUCUUUGUUUCAACUUGUUCGUGUCCUAUUUCACUAGAGACAUCUCUUGUCCGACGCCAGCGGUCCCCAUCAUUGUUUACGUUGAGCCCCACAUGUUUACGAUUACUUUCCCGAGAUUCUUGACAACUAAACCAACUAAAAUGACGGACACAUGUGAAACAAUACAUCUAUUUUUGGACAUAUUUCUUUUCUCUUAAAAGAAGAUGUGGGUAUUACUUAUACUUUUAAUGAAACAGUGCUAAUAGUUCUCAGAUAAUUACCAAAAGCCAUUGGCUGUUCAUUUCGCCUCACGUCAAUAAAAAUACAUGUAUGUGUUUCCAGGCGUCGACAUGAUUGUACUAGGCUUGUGUUUAGUUACGUAAAUGUGUUAGCACAUGACGCGUAUUUGUUUGUACAGAUACUUUAAAGACAAAGAUUGACCUUUUAUUUCUCUUUGGUCUUUCAAUGAAUUCUAUAUAGGCAAGUGUACUAAGAGUCGGCUAGAGACAAGUUCUGAAUUGUUGAAUUGCUGAAAUAGUGAUAGUUUAAGAACCGCCAGAUAUGAGAGAGGGUGGGGGAGAAAUCAAUGUUAAUUUGAUAGGAGAAAGCUUGUAUGAAGUGGGAGGGGAUGGAGUGGAUCUGCUGAUAAGUUUGACUUAGCCUCGACCAUGCAUACCCCUUUACAUUCCUACCUUGAUGAGAUAGGAGUCGAUUGCUAAGAGCUGAUGAUUGGAUGCUAGCGAUAUCAGGUCGGAUGGGGCGCUGGUGGUGGUAAAUAUUUCUUGUAAACAGCAAUGUCUCAACUUGCGCUGUAGUUUUUCUUUUUUUUUCAUACAAAUAUAUUCUUUUGUCUUGUCCGAGUACAGGGGGGGGAGGGCGGAUCGGGAGUGGGUCCCUAGUAAGCUCAGCUCGAUAAAACAAUAAUAGAAGCAACGUGGAAGGGGGGCGUGACAGAGAUCAAAGUAUAAGUGUCUUUCGCUAGUCAAUAAAUUGUGGCGUCCCAGCCCAGGGUCCAUUCAGAGUGUGAUCGACGUUCGAACUUGUGGCUCGGAGUGAGGAGACUCCAAGCAAGCUGGCUGUGCGACUUGCUGGACACUCCAGUUGGUAUUCACUUGGUGUGGAAGGAAGUUUUGCUUGAUAUAUGUCAGCCUUUUCUCUCUCCGUCUGUGUCUCUUGUUGUCUCUGAUGUAUUGUAAGUGAAAUCAAGGAGACAUUCUUGGGCAAGUCUUUAUGUCUUGAAUUUAUUAUUGGACACAAUUUCAAGGUGCUGCAUUUAAUCUUUUUGUCGGAUCAGUUUGAAGUUGUUCACUUUUAUCUGUAGACCGAUUUGUUCUAGCUAAUAAGUUCUGUAACAAUUUAAAAAUAGUUCGCUGACAACAGAGAUUGUGUUUUAGGAGAUUCCCGUUUUCUGUUUUUAUUCUUGUAUCAUUUCCAGUAACAAGCUUUGAUCAACAGUUUGUUGAAAGAGCCGAUGCUACAUUUUAGUUUGUGUGACGUCACUUUCAUUUGAAACUUGUGCUGUUAACAGGAGCGGCUGGCGCUGUCAUUGUGUUAAAUAGAUGAAGCAUAGAGAUUGAAGCUGUACUGGCCCAAAACCAGCUGCAUAAGUGUACGGAGAGAACUUAAUGAUAAGUGUACAUUACCAAUGUCUAAGUCUAGAUUCUAGCAGAGAGUUUUACAAUUCAUGGGGAGAAACGGUGAUUUCAACAACUUGCAGCUAGUAGAUGCUACGGGUAGCCACGUGACUACAACAUUAAGACCAAGCCUGGAAAGGAAAGCAAACAAAAAUGUUCUGGUUUCUGCUUCAUCAUAUUAAUGCAAGUCUUAAAGAUCGUCUUGACGUUUUGAAUGGAACUUUGCAUCUUUUACUGUUUGCACAAGAUGAGACUCACCCGCAAGAGCUAAUUGUCUAUUUGAAAACUAGUAGUGGAAAUGAAGAAUCAGUAUCUUAGGAAAGAAAUUUAUUUUGAAGCCGUGGAUAGGACAUCGCCGCCAACCUUUUUCAGAUCAAUGUUUAUUCUUAAUGUUCAGUGGUAAAAUGUUCACUGACCCAAAUGUAUACCCGGUCUGUUACUUGUAUCUCAAUGUUACAUUUCAUAAGAAAGAUGUGUUGGUAGAUAACUGAUGUUUUGUUUCAUCAGAAAGAUGUGUUGGUAGAUAACGGAUGUUUUGUUUCAUAAGAAAGAUGUGUUGGUAGAUAACGGAUGUUUUGUUUCAUAAGAAAGAUGUGUUGGUAGAUAACUGAUGUUUUGUUUCAAUAAAUAAAGUUUAUUAAGUGCA